This 554-nucleotide unclassified non-coding RNA is filed under the name Hevea brasiliensis (rubber tree). Lineage: Eukaryota; Viridiplantae; Streptophyta; Magnoliopsida; Malpighiales; Euphorbiaceae. The record is from RNAcentral.
ACAAUGUGAAACCUCGAAGGCAUACUUGAGAUUAGCAACUACAGACCAUAGCUGGAAAGCUCUUAAAGUGUAGUUUCCAAAUAAAAUGAGGAGAAGGAAUUCAAUCUGUUGACUUGACUUUGAAAGAAGGGAACUCGAGGAGGGGGGUAUCGUGUGGAGGGUAAACCAACCAAAAUUAUCUAUGCUGAAUCUCUCAAUUUUUCUUUAAGCUUAAUAUCUAGAAAAUUGUUCUCUAUAAUUUUAAUAAAGUAGGAUCACAAAGCAAUUGCGCAAUUUAUUAGCAUGGACCUUGUAGAGCUUCACUUGGUUUCCUCAUUAACAAAAUAAUUGAUACUAAAUAAAGACAGAAGUUUUAUGAGUAAAAAGCACAGGAGAACAAGAAGAUUAACAUGCGCUAAGGAAGACAAAAAUUCAUCUUCCGCAUAUUUUAAGGAGAUGGAUUUCUAGGCAAUAUUGGGGCUGUAUCCUACAGCUACAGGUUUUGGUGGAAUAUGCAUCCUCAUCUAUCAGGUUGCGGUGUUUUAUACAUGAUAUCCAUGGCAUUUGAUCCUUCA